Molecule: non-coding RNA, 2162 nt
Organism: Chrysemys picta bellii (western painted turtle)
Lineage: Eukaryota; Metazoa; Chordata; Testudines; Emydidae
Source: RefSeq, a predicted model, not a curated record
GCGCCUGCCGGCCCCGAGUCUUUCGUUGGCUUCCCCGUGCCGUUGCUCCUGAGAACGAGGCUACUGGCAAGGCGCGGGGAGGGUGGGCGGUGUGCGAGCCAUCCAAGGGGCUGAGAGAGUGGAACAGCUUCAAAAGGAGCUGAGGUAAGUCAGGAAGAUUUGGUAUAAAAAGUCACUUGCUAGUUGAACUCGAGAGCCAUGAACAGAGGCAGCCAAAUGGUUAAUCGCUUCCUGGUGUUGAGGAGCGGACCUGAGCCGAGCUAAGCAUGGAAGUCUUGAUAUAAAAAGUCACUUGGGCCUUUCGGAUAAGUUGUUCACUGAACACAAUGGUAAUUUCCUCAGUUUGGUAGAGCUCCCUGGGAAAUACUACAAUGUCAUGCAUGAGCACGUACAUCGAGUAGUUCGUAAAGAAACUAUGGACCAUUACUACAGCAAAACAAUUGAAAACAAAUUGAUUUACCUUAUGGCAAGGAAGGUGCUUGAUAACAUAUUGAUGCAGCUCGACAAAGCAAAGUACUAUGCCAUAAUAAUGGACUGCAUUCCUGACAUUCGUCACAGUGAAAAGAUGUAAUUUACAGUAAGAUUUGUUGACAAUGAGGAUGGCUGUAUCCAAGUAAAGGAACACUUUAUCUGUUUCGGUCUGUGGACAACUCUACUGGAAAAGGCCUAACAGAACUGUUUAUGAACGUUUUGAAUGAGAAUAAAAUAAAGCUUCAGGACUGCCAUGGCCAAGGCUAUGACAAAGGCGUGAACAUGAAGGGAAAAAACAGUGGUAUCCAGGCAAGAAUCCGUGCACUGAAUCCAAGAGAUCUCUUUGUGCCUUGUAACUGCCAUUCCUUCAACCUGGUUGUGUCAGAUGCAGCGUCAUCUUCUUUAGAUUCAGUAUCUCUCUUCGGAGUACUGCAAAGGAUAUACAUCCUGUUUUCAGCAUCAGCUAUCAGGUGGAAGAUCCUCAUGGACAAUAUCACAAAUAUGACCAUGAAGCUACUAAGUGACGCUCACUGGGAGAGCCAUAUUAAUAGUAUAAGACCAGUGACAUACCAAGUGACUGAGGUUUAUGAAUCACUGAUGGAACUGGUGCAGUCAAGUAAAGCCAAGGCCGAAAUUUGACACUAGGGUGCAAAGCCUGGCAAACCAUAUCACUGACUUCAAAUUUCUGGUCUUAAUUAUGGUUUGGCAUGAUAUUCUGUUCGAAGUAAACAUUGUAAGCAAGGCAUUACAAACUCAGUUGAUGGACAUUGCAACCACUACUACUUUGAUGAGAAGCUGCCUUGAUUUCAUUGUGGCCUACAGAGACAAUGGAUUUGAAGAUGCCAUCACUCAGUUGAUGGACAUUGCAACCACUACUACUUUGAUGAAAAGCUGCCUUGAUUUCAUUGUGGCCUACAGAGACAAUGGAUUUGAAGAUGCCAUCACUGCUGCCAAAGAAAUGGCAGAAAACUUAGGAGUUGAAUUUGUCUUCAGUGAAAUUUGUAUUCAUUAGAAAAAGAGACAGUUUGGUUACAAGGGCAGAGAUGAGGUGAUGGGAAACUUGGAAGAAAAAUUCAAGAGGGAAAAUUCACUGCUCGAGUGUCCAUUAAAGAAAGGUUUGGACAAAUGAAUCACUAUGAAAAGACCUGGGGAGUUUUGUAUGACCUUAGUAAGCUGCUGGCAGACAGGAAAACACUCUUGAACAAUUGUACGGACCUUCACUGGACGCUGACACAUGGGGGAUAUUUGGACAUCAAUGAUAAAGACUUCUGUCAAGUUGGACAACAGCGGUCACAUUUUGCAACAUGGAAGCACUAUCCACUUCAAGUUCUCCAAUUCAUGAUGCAGGGCUGAAGGACACUUUUCCUAACCUGUGGAUAGCUUUGAGGAUUCUGAUCAUGCUGCCAGUCACAGUCACAAGUGGUGAACGCAGCUUUUCGAAGCUCAGGCUCAUUAAAACAUAUUUUUGAUUGACAAUGGCCUAGGAGAGACUGACAUCACUUGCUAUUUUAUCACUUGAAAAUGCCAUUGGCCAGUCUUUGGAUUUCUCUGAUACUGUGCUUCAGUUUGUGAGGGCAAAGGUGAGAAAAACGACCUUUUGAACUAAAGUAGUAGGAUUAACAUUCUAAGGCUGUCACCUACUGUAAGUAUCAGAGGGGUAGCCGUGUUAGUCUGAAUCUGUAAAAAGCAAC